This 1601-nucleotide long non-coding RNA is filed under the name Manihot esculenta (cassava). Its description in RNAcentral is "long non-coding RNA (MESC_LNC000524)". Lineage: Eukaryota; Viridiplantae; Streptophyta; Magnoliopsida; Malpighiales; Euphorbiaceae. The record is from RNAcentral.
GUUUGAGUUAAUUAUAUAAGAAAAAUAUUGUAAUAGUAAAACUGAAUUGGGACCAAAGUUGACUUCGAGUCUAAAAUGGAAAAUAAUAAUAAUAAUAGCUUCAAUUUAUAUUCAUAGUUGGAAUUAUAUGAUUACUGCACCCGAAAAUAGACGCCCUUCUCGCGGGUGUCGCUCAGUUACUAGCAAUUAUCAUAUUACUGCGAGUAUAUCCAGAAUCAUAUGGUCCCGUCAUCGUAAUGUCUAGCAAUUCAUCUUAUAUCUUCCAUUUCACUCUCAUGGACAAGUGGAUCUGCGGGAAAGAAGAAACUUCUCUCUCCAAGGUUUUUUUAUUUUGAGAAUUCUCUCUCGACUUUAUUUAUUCCUUGAGUUUAAGAUUUUUAUCUAUCACACUAUCAACUCUGUGCCUCUAAGCAAACAAUACCUCUCCUUCAAGUUGGUUGUGGGUUUCAUCGUCGGAUGGGAUAUAGUUAGUCUUGUUGUCUAGUUUGUUCUGAUGCAGCGGUUGUUUUAGGCGAGGGUUUUCUACUAGCUACUUGUCUUUGAUUUUUUGAUUGUAUGUUUGUUGUUUUUUUACAAGUCUGAAAACUCCUCAGGUCUGAGCUUUCUGAGAUUGAAAUCGCAGUAAUAAGAUGGUGAUAAUGGCUCCUGAAGCAGAGGCUCAAAAGACACAAACAGGUCGCCAAGGGCAUACCUCCCUCUUUUCCUGGUAUAUUUUGUUAUGGGGCAGUUCUUCUUUAAUCCAAGCGAUGGUGAACUUGACAUGGCUAAGGAAGUUUCUGUCUUCUCUUUUCCCGCCCAUUUAUUUUGUUGCAUGUGCUGGGUCAACCACUAGCUCCGUUCUCGUGCUUUCUAGAUGGCUUUUGCUUGGCUCCGUCUCUUUUCUCCCUUAGUAUCCAAUGUGUUUGUAUGCCUUUUUGGGGUUGUUGUAGCAAAAAGUAAUAUUCCCAUUUAUUGUCCGCUAACAUUCACAAUUGAUUUCUCCAAAAAGAAGGACAAACACUGCUGGACUUGUACUUUGAAGUCGGGUCAAACCGAAAUGGGUCUCUAGCGUGUUUUUUGGGCUGUUUUAUGUGUUGGGCCUAUGAGUAAGUUGACUUUUGUCCUAUAUUUUAUUGUUUAAGUUCCAAAUGUCUGGUUUAUUUACUUUUGUUGUGCAGGGUUGGGCUUGUUUAUCUUCCAUGAAUUCAAAUUACCGUCCCCAAAAAGAAUAUCCGUGGAAAAGAUAAUUUGUGCCACACAUUUACAAUGUAAAAAAAUACGAAAUAUAUAUAAAUUUGAACUCUUCAAUUUGUGCCACACAUUUAAAAUGUAAAAUUUAGUUUAUGAUUCUCCUAAAUUUGUUUCAGCAUGAUUAAUCCGAUCAGGCAACGCGAACGCUGUCUUAUGGAAUUUUCAUUAAAAAAAAGCCUGGGAUUUUCGUGUUUGCGUAAAGCAACUCUGUUUUUUAAUUUGUUUUCAAAAUUUUAAAGAUCAUUUCUGUACUUUAUAAAUAUUAAAAGAUGCCAUAAUUUAACUUUUUUUUUUGUCAAAUGUCAUAAUUUACUUUAAUUAAUCGCACUAACACAAAAAUUUAAUUAAAGCUGUGAUUACUAUAAGUUUCA